UACAGAGGGUGCAAGCGUUAAUCGGAAUUACUGGGCGUAAAGCGUGCGUAGACGGUUACAUAAGUCGGGUGUGAAAGCCCCGGGCUCAACCUGGGAAUUGCAUUCGAGACUGCGUAGCUAGGGUGCGGAAGAGGGAAGCGGAAUUUCCGGUGUAGCGGUGAAAUGCGUAGAUAUCUGGAGGAACACCGGUGGCGAAGGCGGCAUCCUGGACCAAUUCUGACGCUGAGGAGCGAAAGCCAGGGGAGCAAACGGG
RNAcentral lists this ribosomal RNA (253 nucleotides) under uncultured bacterium. RNAcentral describes it as "partial 16S ribosomal RNA". It matches the Rfam family "Bacterial small subunit ribosomal RNA", at positions 524 to 776 of the family's 1533-position model. The record is from RNAcentral.